Molecule: ribosomal RNA, 586 nt
Filed under: uncultured bacterium
Lineage: Bacteria
Description: partial 16S ribosomal RNA
Rfam family: Bacterial small subunit ribosomal RNA
Source: RNAcentral
UGGGGAAUUUUGGACAAUGGGCGAAAGCCUGAUCCAGCAAUGCCGCGUGUGUGAAGAAGGCCUUCGGGUUGUAAAGCACUUUUGUCCGGAAAGAAAUCCUUGGCUCUAAUACAGUCGGGGGAUGACGGUACCGGAAGAAUAAGCACCGGCUAACUACGUGCCAGCAGCCGCGGUAAUACGUAGGGUGCAAGCGUUAAUCGGAAUUACUGGGCGUAAAGCGUGCGCAGGCGGUUUGCUAAGACCGAUGUGAAAUCCCCGGGCUCAACCUGGGAACUGCAUUGGUGACUGGCAGGCUAGAGUAUGGCAGAGGGGGGUAGAAUUCCACGUGUAGCAGUGAAAUGCGUAGAGAUGUGGAGGAAUACCGAUGGCGAAGGCAGCCCCCUGGGCCAAUACUGACGCUCAUGCACGAAAAGCGUGGGGAGCAAAACAGGAUUAGAUACCCUGGUAGUCCACGCCCUAAACGAUGUCAACUAGUUGUUGGGGAUUCAUUUCCUAGUAACGUAGCUAACGCGUGAAGUUGACCGCCUGGGGAGUACGGUCGCAAGAUUAAAACUCAAAGGAAUUGACGGGGUCAUAGCUGUUUCCU